CACGUAGGGGGCAAGCGUUAUCCGGAUUUAUUGGGCGUAAAGAGCUCGUAGGUGGUUCGGUAAGUCGGGUGUUAAACCCCCAGGCUCAACCUGGGGACGCCACUCGAUACUGCUGUGACUUGAGUCCGGUAGGGGAGCGUGGAAUUCCUGGUGUAGCGGUGAAAUGCGCAGAUAUCAGGAGGAACACCAGCGGCGAAGGCGGCGCUCUGGGCCGGUACUGACACUGAGGAGCGAAAGCGUGGGUAGCAAACAGG
RNAcentral lists this ribosomal RNA (254 nucleotides) under uncultured bacterium. Its description in RNAcentral is "partial 16S ribosomal RNA". It matches the Rfam family "Bacterial small subunit ribosomal RNA", at positions 524 to 776 of the family's 1533-position model. The record is from RNAcentral.